This 497-nucleotide ribosomal RNA is filed under the name uncultured bacterium. RNAcentral's name for it is "partial 16S ribosomal RNA". It matches the Rfam family "Bacterial small subunit ribosomal RNA", at positions 28 to 507 of the family's 1533-position model. The record is from RNAcentral.
GAUGAACGCUGGCGGCGUGCCUAAUACAUGCAAGUCGAGCGAACAGACGAGGAGCUUGCUCCUCUGACGUUAGCGGCGGACGGGUGAGUAACACGUUGAUAACCUACCUAUAAGACUGGGAUAACUUCGGGAAACCGGAGCUAAUACCGGAUAAUAUAUUGAACCGCAUGGUUCAAUAGUGAAAGACGGUUUUGCUGUCACUUAUAGAUGGAUCCGCGCCGCAUUAUCUAGUUGGUAAGGUAACGGCUUACCAAGGCGACGAUGCGUAGCCGACCUGAGAGGGUGAUCGGCCACACUGGAACUGAGACACGGUCCAGACUCCUACGGGAGGCAGCAGUAGGGAAUCUUCCGCAAUGGGCGAAAGCCUGACGGAGCAACGCCGCGUGAGUGAUGAAGGUCUUCGGAUCGUAAAACUCUGUUAUUAGGGAAGAACAAAUGUGUAAGUAACUAUGCACGUCUUGACGGUACCUAAUCAGAAAGCAACGGCUAACUACGUG